AGAAUGACCACUGCCUGUCAGAAAAAAUGUGUACCACCCAAGUAUAACGAAGCAGAUUUAUCUAAAGGUGAAUCAGUGUGUUUAGACAGAUGUGUAUCCAAGUACUUAGAAAUGCACGAUAAUAUAGGAAAAAAAUUGACAUCCAUGUCACAACAAGACGAGGCUACUGUGAAGAAAAUCCAGGAUCAAAUGCAGCCCCAAAAAUCUUAACAUAAAAACUGUUUUAAUAGUUGUGAUAUUACAAUUAAAGUAUUUAUACAAUGAAGAAAUGAACAAGAGACUAACAGUAGAAAGUGUUAUCACUACAAGGAAUAGCAGACCAUUAUUAAAAGAUAAAUGGACUCGCUGUCAUCAGCUGUUCUUCUGUCAUAGUCAUUGAUUGCAAAGGUGGCGUUGAGUUGACUACAUACAUUCGUGAUCAGUUGUCAAUGUUACAAAAAAUACACUAGACAAUCAAUAUAAAAUUUAUUAUAUUAUUUUAUUUUUUUUAUUUUUUAUUAACUAAAUUUAGGACAUUUUUCUAGUAAAAAUUUCAUUUUACUGGUUGAAAUUUUCAUUGGGUUUCUUUGACCAUGAUAACCUAAGCCAACUGUGGUAAAUAAGUGCUAGCAUGGCUAGAUGAGAUAUUGUCACACUCAGUCUCUUAGUUUUUAUUGAAUGGAUCAGUCUAAACAUUCGAACGUGACCACAGAUGACUAAUCCAGUAUGCUAACAAUGAUUUAGAUUUUCAUAGCCUCAAAAAAAUAAAUGUAGAUUCUUAUAGUCCUCUCUUCCCCCCAAAAAUAAAGUGUUAGCAUGUCUAAUGGGACAUUGCAUAAUAAUACUUUUUUUUUUCAAAUGCAAAAUUUUAAGUCUUCUUGCUGUUUUUGUGAUUUUUUUAGUUUUCUAACUUAAAGUAUAAAUAUCUUCAACUUGACUUCUUCAGCCUCGAAAGCACAACUAUUGUAGAUCACAUUUGUUAUUUCAAAACUGAAUGAGUAUUGAUCAUGUUGAUCAACUAAAUAUUUGGUGUUAUAUAUUUCUAAAUUUGAGCAAUUCUGUACUAUGACUCUAACAAUUUUCAAUGGUCUCUGUUGUUUGAUUACAUGUAUAUUGUUGUGAUUGAAAUAAGUUUUUUAUAUAUCAAGAUGUGUUGUAACUUGAUGAGUAAAUAUUUUUUUUAAAUUUAUAUUACUUUUGUUCUUUUUUGUAUCAGGACACAAUGUUAAAGUUAACCACCUCAUGCAGUGUUAGUUUUCAUUAAUGUCAUGUGUUCAAUAAAUUGUGUUUACAUGUAUAUUUUUCAUGAGUCAUUGCUUAAAUAUCCCAGUCAGAAUAUUUCUAAUUUA
RNAcentral lists this long non-coding RNA (1328 nucleotides) under Mytilus galloprovincialis (Mediterranean mussel). Lineage: Eukaryota; Metazoa; Mollusca; Bivalvia; Mytilida; Mytilidae. The record is from RNAcentral.